GUUCUACUCCCCCCGUGGAGUUUCAAAAAAAUUUGUCUUAGAUUUAUCUAAAUACGGAUGUAUCAAAUCAUGUUUUAGUAUUAGAUACAUCCGUAUCUAGACAAAUGCAAGACAAGAAUUUUGGGACGGAAGGAGUAAUUC
Molecule: non-coding RNA, 141 nt
Organism: Triticum aestivum (bread wheat)
Lineage: Eukaryota; Viridiplantae; Streptophyta; Magnoliopsida; Poales; Poaceae
Source: Rfam